GACGAACGCUGGCGGCGUGCUUAACACAUGCAAGUCGUACGGUAAGGCCCUUUCGGGGGUACACGAGUGGCGAACGGGUGAGUAACACGUGAGUAACCUGCCCACAACUUUGGGAUAACGCUAGGAAACUGGUGCUAAUACUGGAUAUGUGCUCCUGCUGCAUGGUGGGGGUUGGAAAGCUCCGGCGGUUGUGGAUGGACUCGCGGCCUAUCAGCUUGUUGGUGGGGUAGUGGCCUACCAAGGCGGCGACGGGUAGCCGGCCUGAGAGGGUGACCGGCCACAUUGGGACUGAGAUACGGCCCAGACUCCUACGGGAGGCAGCAGUGGGGAAUAUUGCACAAUGGGCGCAAGCCUGAUGCAGCAACGCCGCGUGCGGGAUGACGGCCUUCGGGUUGUAAACCGCUUUCAGCAGGGACGAAGCUUUUCGUGACGGUACCUGCAGAAGAAGCACCGGCUAACUACGUG
This 465-nucleotide ribosomal RNA is filed under the name uncultured bacterium. RNAcentral's name for it is "partial 16S ribosomal RNA". It matches the Rfam family "Bacterial small subunit ribosomal RNA", at positions 28 to 507 of the family's 1533-position model. The record is from RNAcentral.